AUUGAACACUGGCGGCAGGCUUAACACAUGCAAGUCGAGCGGGGUGAUGGUGCUUGCACUAUCACUUAGCGGCGGACGGGUGAGUAAUGCUUAGGAAUCUGCCUAUUAGUGGGGGACAACAUCUCGAAAGGGAUGCUAAUACCGCAUACGUCGUACGGGAGAAAGCAGGGGAUCACUUGUGACCUUGCGCUAAUAGAUGAGCCUAAGUCGGAUUAGCUAGUUGGUGGGGUAAAGGCCUACCAAGGCGACGAUCUGUAGCGGGUCUGAGAGGAUGAUCCGCCACACUGGGACUGGGACACGGCCCAGACUCCUACGGGAGGCAGCAGUGGGGAAUAUUGGACAAUGGGGGGAACCCUGAUCCAGCCAUGCCGCGUGUGUGAAGAAGGCCUUAUGGUUGUAAAGCACUUUAAGCGAGGAGGAGGCUCUUUUGGUUAAUACCCAAGAUGAGUGGACGUUACUCGCAGAAUAAGCACCGGCUAACUCUGUGCCAGCCGCCGCGGUAA
Molecule: ribosomal RNA, 503 nt
Filed under: uncultured bacterium
Lineage: Bacteria
Description: partial 16S ribosomal RNA
Rfam family: Bacterial small subunit ribosomal RNA
Source: RNAcentral